Molecule: unclassified non-coding RNA, 287 nt
Filed under: Hevea brasiliensis (rubber tree)
Lineage: Eukaryota; Viridiplantae; Streptophyta; Magnoliopsida; Malpighiales; Euphorbiaceae
Source: RNAcentral
GAAGCAAAACUUAUUGCUGCCUCAAAUUUAGCAUCCAAAACGGCAUUCAAUAAUUUCAAUGCAAUAAUAAUUCAUGGCAUAACAUGAGAAAAACAGGGAGCAAAAGGUCCAUGAUGAGACAAUCUCGCAUGAUGUACGUAAUUUAAUCUCUUGAUUUACAUAAACACAAGGAUUGGAAAAGCUUAGUUUAACCAGAAUUCAACCAGGGCUUAAGAAUUUAGAAUGUGACCAUUUUCUGCCAAGAUGCUGUCCAAUAAUGAUUCACAAGCAUCUUCAAGUAGAUCCAA